UACGUAGGGGGCAAGCGUUGUCCGGAAUCAUUGGGCGUAAAGAGCGUGUAGGCGGUUCGGUAAGUCGGCUGUGAAAGUCCAGGGCUCAACCCUGGGAUGCCGGUCGAUACUGCCGGACUAGAGUUCGGAAGAGGAGAGUGGAAUUCCUGGUGUAGCGGUGAAAUGCGCAGAUAUCAGGAAGAACACCCGUGGCGAAGGCGGCUCUCUGGUACGUGACUGACGCUGAGACGCGAAAGCGUGGGGAGCAAACAGG
This 253-nucleotide ribosomal RNA is filed under the name uncultured bacterium. Its description in RNAcentral is "partial 16S ribosomal RNA". It matches the Rfam family "Bacterial small subunit ribosomal RNA", at positions 524 to 776 of the family's 1533-position model. The record is from RNAcentral.